AACGAACGCUGGCGGCAUGCCUAACACAUGCAAGUCGAACGAGACCGUCGGGUCUAGGGGCGCACGGGUGCGUAAGGCGUGGGAACCUGCCCUUAGGUUCGGAAUAACUCCCCGAGAGGGGUGCUAAGACCGGAUGAUGUCUUCGGACCAAAGAUUUAUCGCCUGUGGAUGGGCUCGCGGCGGUUUAGCUUGUUGGUAGGGUAGAGGCCUACGAAGGCGUUGAUGGAUAGCUGGUCUGAGAGGGUGACCGGCCACACUGGGACUGGGACACGGCCCAGACUGCUACGGGAGGCAGCAGUGGGGAAUAUUGCACAAUGGGCGGAAGCCUGAUGCAGCAACGCCGCGUGCGGGAUGACGGCCUUCGGGUUGUAAACCACUUUCGCCUGUGACGAAGCGUGAGUGACGGUAAUGGGUAAAGAAGCACCGGCUAACUACGUG
This 438-nucleotide ribosomal RNA is filed under the name uncultured bacterium. RNAcentral describes it as "partial 16S ribosomal RNA". It matches the Rfam family "Bacterial small subunit ribosomal RNA", at positions 28 to 507 of the family's 1533-position model. The record is from RNAcentral.